This is a non-coding RNA of Triticum urartu, 136 nucleotides long. The record is from Rfam. NCBI's taxonomy places the organism in Eukaryota, Viridiplantae, Streptophyta, Magnoliopsida, Poales, Poaceae.
GAAGUACUUCCUCCGUCCAAAAAUACAUGUUAUCAAAAUAGAUAAAAAAAGAAUGUAUCUAGAACUAAAAUACGUCUAGAUACAUCCGCUUUUGUUCAUUUUGAUGAUAAGUAUUUCCAAAUGAAGGGAGUAGUUG